This is a long non-coding RNA of Megachile rotundata (alfalfa leafcutting bee), 471 nucleotides long. NCBI's taxonomy places the organism in Eukaryota, Metazoa, Arthropoda, Insecta, Hymenoptera, Megachilidae. The record is from RefSeq and is a predicted model, not a curated record.
UGAAAAUAUAUAAAGUAUCGGUUAAUUAUUUUAUUGUUAUAUAUCUAUAAAUGUGAAUAUACUCAUUACUGAAAAAUCAUCCAAUUUAUAUAACUUAAUUUGAGUUGUCAAUCUUACGAUUUUUUCUACCAAUCAGCAAUGAUCUACCCAAUGCGCCAUGUUUCAGGUUCAAAAAUUUAUUCUGAGCAUUGUUCUGUAAAGUUUAAACGAAGCUAACUCAAUUAGAACAAAAAUGAAAGAAAACGUCAAUAAACCUGUUAUUCACAACAUAAAAUAAGUGAUGUUUUUCAUCAUAAGUAACAGCAUUUAUUCCGUUUUUAUAAAAAUUACCAAAAGAGAAUUCAUAAUUGGCUUCAAACCCAUUGGUUGGCGAAAUAUGAAAUAUCAUAGAAACUAUUGCAUCGCCAGCUUCUAAGAUAUGAGGAUUCUGAGAAAUAGCUUUUGGAUUAAUAUUAAAAACAUUGUUUCCCA